This 794-nucleotide long non-coding RNA is filed under the name Junco hyemalis (dark-eyed junco). RNAcentral's name for it is "lncRNA (ENSJHYG00000011801.1)". The record is from RNAcentral. Lineage: Eukaryota; Metazoa; Chordata; Aves; Passeriformes; Passerellidae.
GUUGCUUUCUAGUAAUUUGACUGGAAAAUAAAAUUUGGCAAAAUAUCUAUACAUUUGUAUAGAUAUGUAAUUCAAGAUCACAGGAAAAAAUUCUGCUGGGUUGAGCACCCUAGAAAAUUUAGGCAAAUGUGACUUUCUGUGAAAUGCUGUGUGUGGUUGUUGCUAUCAACAUAUACAUGAUGUAUAUAUUGUACUUUGCUGCUGCGAUCUCAGGAACCACUUGUCUAAAGCCUGGUUUGGUUUGGAGCCAGCAAUGCAGCUAUUUACCUCCCCAAAUAUCUGCGACAGAGCAAGUCAAAAGGGAGUUAAAAUUACACAGGAUGCUUGUGAAGAAAAUGUGGUCAGCUGUGAACCUCAGACUUGAUCUCUUAAGUGAACUGAGAUGCACGAGGUGAAGCACUUCUGUCUUCCUGGGGACCUACGGCUGCUACAUUUUUCUUAAGUAGAGAAGGAUAAUUGCAUUUGUAUCUACUCUGCACGACUGCUCUGCUGCCAGGUUCUCAGUUGCUCUUCUUGCCUCAGUCCCUCCGGGAAAUUCAAUGAUACAGAAACUAAUCCUUCCAAAUAAUGCAGGUGUCAGAGGUCUGUGUAAGAGGAAGGCUUGGCAGAAUCUCUUGUGGAAAUUUACACAACAUCUGCCCACACAAUGGCUGGACAGUACUGUUCUUCCUUCAGUUGUCAGGUGUAUUGGAAUGUGUAUAGAAGAAAACCCAAAGAAAAUAGUAGAUCCAAGAUUCUAAUGCAUGAAAAAAAUGCAGUUAUUGUUGGAAAUAAAAACCAUUAUUCAUUUUUCA